GUGGGGAAUAUUCCGCAAUGGACGAAAGUCUGACGGAGCAACGCCGCGUGAGCGAUGAAGGUUUUCGGACUGUAAAGCUCUGUUGUUUAGGACGAAAGUGCCUGUUGCAAAUAGUUACAGGUAUUGACGGUACUGAACGAGGAAGCCACGGCUAACUACGUGCCAGCAGCCGCGGUAAUACGUAGGUGGCAAGCGUUGUCCGGAAUUAUUGGGCGUAAAGAGCAUGUAGGCGGGAAUCUAAGUCUGUUGUGAAAAUGCGGGGCUCAACCCCGUAUUGCGAUGGAAACUGGGUUUCUUGAGUGCAGGAGAGGAAAGGGGAAUUCCCAGUGUAGCGGUGAAAUGCGUAGAUAUUGGGAGGAACACCAGUGGCGAAGGCGCCUUUCUGGACUGUGUCUGACGCUGAGAUGCGAAAGCCAGGGUAGCGAACGGGAUUAGAAACCCCGGUAGUCC
Molecule: ribosomal RNA, 450 nt
Filed under: uncultured bacterium
Lineage: Bacteria
Description: partial 16S ribosomal RNA
Rfam family: Bacterial small subunit ribosomal RNA
Source: RNAcentral